Molecule: long non-coding RNA, 999 nt
Organism: Sciurus carolinensis (gray squirrel)
Lineage: Eukaryota; Metazoa; Chordata; Mammalia; Rodentia; Sciuridae
Exons: 3
Source: RefSeq, a predicted model, not a curated record
GGGAGGAGAGCAAAGCACUUCUCUGAGGAAGUACAGGACAGUUGUCGCUAAGGAAUCAGCUGUGGCCUUGGGUGGGCAGAAAGGGCCUCGGAGCAGGUCGGGUUGGCUGUGUGCGGGUGGGUGGACCGGCCUGCUGUGCUGAGACCCGUGCUGCAGCAGGCGGAGCUGGGGAAGGAGCAGAGCUAUGCGGGACCAAGACACAUGUCAGCAAGUCUUCCAUCCCUCCGUCCUGGGGACUGGGCUGGCCGGCCCGAGUUUCCUGGCAUUUGGUCAUGAAGUAGCUUGUGUCGGCCCAUCAUUUAUUUUGGCCAGCAAACCAAACUAGGAAGGAAGACCAGGAUUCGGGACUUCAGUGAUGAGCAUGUACCCCCCAAAUUCUGAAGUUAUAGAGUGUGGAGCCGGCUGGGAUCUUGGAAGUCGACUGGUUGAAAUGCUGGUUGAAUCCUCAGGUGUGGAACCCCCAGAUACAGACUGUAUAGAUGGCUGUUUGAAAGUUGGAAAUAAUCUCACUUCAAGAAGAAGGAUGUUUUGGAUUGUCAUGGACAGAAUGUGAAGAGUGGAAGAAAAUUCACUAGAUGGGUCCCUGACUCUUAUAUCUUGAAAUUUUUCUCUUUGUAUUGAAAAGAAUUAAAAUAAGAACCCAGCUCAGAGUAGAGUCGCUGUCAAUCUUGGCAGGUUCUAAAACAAGGACACGGUGUGUGAAAAGAAUGACUACCCAGCCAGGCAUAGCGUGGCAUGCACAUAAAAAAAAAAAAAAAAAAUCAGUAAUUUUCGCAGAAAUAUAACGAAUCCAGGAUCUUUUACAACAUAUCAUUCAUAAGAUCAGGACUAGUGUCUAAAACUGCUAGACAUAGAAAGACACAGGAAAACAUGCUCUAUACUCAAGAGAGAAGAUAACAAGUGGAGGCUAAUACUCAAAUUACCCAAUGUUGGAAUUGGUAGACAGGAUUUUAAAGCAGCUGAAUAAUGUGAAGAAAAUAUGUUUGUAAUGAAGAAGCU